CUCCAGACUCCUACGGGAGGCAGCAGUGGGGAAUAUUGCACAAUGGGGGAAACCCUGAUGCAGCGACGCCGCGUGAGCGAUGAAGUAUUUCGGUAUGUAAAGCUCUAUCAGCAGGGAAGAAAAUGACGGUACCUGACUAAGAAGCCCCGGCUAACUACGUGCCAGCAGCCGCGGUAAUACGUAGGGGGCAAGCGUUAUCCGGAUUUACUGGGUGUAAAGGGAGCGUAGACGGCUGUGCAAGCCAGAUGUGAAAGCCCGGGGCUCAACCCCGGGACUGCAUUUGGAACUGUGUGGCUGGAGUGUCGGAGAGGCAGGCGGAAUUCCUAGUGUAGCGGUGAAAUGCGUAGAUAUUAGGAGGAACACCAGUGGCGAAGGCGGCCUGCUGGACGAUGACUGACGUUGAGGCUCGAAAGCGUGGGGAGCAAACAGGAUUAGAUACCCCGGUACC
RNAcentral lists this ribosomal RNA (448 nucleotides) under uncultured bacterium. RNAcentral describes it as "bacterial SSU rRNA". It matches the Rfam family "Bacterial small subunit ribosomal RNA", at positions 329 to 794 of the family's 1533-position model. The record is from RNAcentral.